This 551-nucleotide ribosomal RNA is filed under the name uncultured Acaulospora. RNAcentral's name for it is "SSU rRNA". It matches the Rfam family "Eukaryotic small subunit ribosomal RNA", at positions 548 to 1098 of the family's 1831-position model. Lineage: Eukaryota; Fungi; Glomeromycota; Glomeromycetes; Diversisporales; Acaulosporaceae. The record is from RNAcentral.
UUGGAGGGCAAGUCUGGUGCCAGCAGCCGCGGUAAUUCCAGCUCCAAUAGCGUAUAUUAAAGUUGUUGCAGUUAAAAAGCUCGUAGUUGAAUUUCGGAAUCUGUCCGUCGGUCGGGCUUCACUGUCCGUACUGGUGUGAUGGGUUUCUACCUUCUGAAUAACCGGCAUGUCAUUAAUUUGGUGCGCCGGGGAAGCAGAACUAUUACCUUGAAAAAAUUAGAGUGCUUAAAGCAGGCUAUCGCCUGAAUAGAUUAGCAUGGAAUAAUAAAAUAGGACGGCAUGGUUCUAUUUUGUUGGUUUCUAGGAUCACCGUAAUGAUUAAUAGGGAUAGUUGGGGGCAUUAGUAUUCAACUGUCAGAGGUGAAAUUCUUGGAUUUAUUGAAGACUAACUUCUGCGAAAGCAUUUGCCAAGGAUGUUUUCAUUAAUCAAGAACGAAAGUUAGGGGAUCGAAGACGAUCAGAUACCGUCGUAGUCUUAACCAUAAACUAUGCCGACUAGGGAUCGGACGAUGUUAAUUUUUUAAUGACUCGUUCGGCGCCUUACGGGAAAC